CCUACGGGAGGCAGCAGUGAGGAAUAUUGGUCAAUGGGCGCGAGCCUGACCCAGCCAAGUAGCGUGAAGGAUGACUGCCCUACGGGUUGUAAACUUCUUUUAUAAAGGCAUAAAGUGACGGUAUCUGUGGCAUAAGCCACGGCUAACUACGUGCCAGCAGCCGCGGUAAUACGUAGGUGGCAAGCGUUAUCCGGAUUUACUGGGUGUAAAGGGCGUGUAGGCGGGGAAGCAAGUCAGAUGUGAAAACCACGGGCUCAACCUGUGGCCUGCAUUUGAAACUGUUUUUUUUGAGUACUGGAGAGGCAGACGGAAUUCCUAGUGUAGCGGUGAAAUGCGUAGAUAUUAGGAGGAACACCAGUGGCGAAGGCGGUCUGCUGGACAGCAACUGACGCUGAGGCGCGAAAGCGUGGGGAGCAAACAGGAUUAGAUACCCGGGUAGUC
This 441-nucleotide ribosomal RNA is filed under the name uncultured bacterium. RNAcentral describes it as "partial 16S ribosomal RNA". It matches the Rfam family "Bacterial small subunit ribosomal RNA", at positions 338 to 795 of the family's 1533-position model. The record is from RNAcentral.